This 641-nucleotide unclassified non-coding RNA is filed under the name Hevea brasiliensis (rubber tree). Lineage: Eukaryota; Viridiplantae; Streptophyta; Magnoliopsida; Malpighiales; Euphorbiaceae. The record is from RNAcentral.
GGAUGAUUUCUGAAUCCAUCAUUUGAAAAGCUAGAGAAGUCAGGUCUGUGAAUGGAAAUAUUCGACAUCAGAGGCCGUCUGCUUCCACUCCAGAUUGUUUCAGCUAAACGUUUCAAUCUUUUUAUACAACAAAAGAGAUUAAAAAAAAAAAAGGUUCUUUUUGGGUCUGAAAAAUCUGGAAAUAGUUGCAGGGUGGCGAUUGGGAGAAAAGGAUAGGGAAAAAGAAGGGGUUGGUCAUUGGAUGCAGCAGUUGCAAGUAACAACGUCUGCUUACCUGUCUAGUGGUGGGCCAAAAUACGAUGAUGUAAUAGUGGAUAAGACACAAAGCCACGUAUUUGCUGCAGCUUCUGCCAUAGCAAUUAGCACCGCUUUCUCCUCUGGCUUUGUUCUUAAUUAAUGCUUAUUUCUUUAACUGUGCGACAGGAAAAAUCAGUGCAUCACUACAUCCAUGAUCCAUCUGCUGCACUAAUAUUCCCAUCCAAUUAAAUUUAAACCCUUUCUAUUAUCAGAAAGGAAAUGGAUAAAAGUCGAGGAUUAAGGACUACCCCAACUAUAAUCUUCCAUUAUCUUGUCAGAUUUUACCUUAUCUAACGCAAUAUUAUCCUAAUAUGUUAUAAUUUAUCCUUCCAAAUCACUUUUCA